This 235-nucleotide ribosomal RNA is filed under the name uncultured bacterium. RNAcentral describes it as "partial 16S ribosomal RNA". It matches the Rfam family "Bacterial small subunit ribosomal RNA", at positions 105 to 339 of the family's 1533-position model. The record is from RNAcentral.
GGUGCGUAACGCGUAUGCAACCUACCCUAUACAGGGGGAUAGCCCGGAGAAAUUCGGAUUAAUACCCUAUAAUAUUUACUACUCGCAUGAGUUGGUAUCUUAAAACUCCGGUGGUUAUAGAUGGGCAUGCGGCCUAUUAGUUUGUUGGUGAGGUAACGGCUCACCAAGACUACGAUAGGUAGGGGUUCUGAGAGGAUGAUCCCCCACACUGGUACUGAGACACGGACCAGACUCC